Molecule: long non-coding RNA, 1415 nt
Organism: Melanotaenia boesemani (Boeseman's rainbowfish)
Lineage: Eukaryota; Metazoa; Chordata; Actinopteri; Atheriniformes; Melanotaeniidae
Exons: 3
Source: RefSeq, a predicted model, not a curated record
AUGGGGCUGAGCCGGGAGGUCAGCCCUGCCCGGGCAGCCAAAAAGUGGGAAAACCUAAAAAAAACCUACAAGGAGCUCAGGAAACCACCCACAGGAACUGGCACUGAGACGGAGGAGCCCACUGCUGCAUCAUGGAAGUGGUUCUCCCUGAUGGAUGAGGCGAUAGGCAGCAAACCGUCUGUACGGCCUCCCUGCCUUAUUGCUUCAUCCUGGGAGGAGAGCCCUUCCACGUCUGUGGCACCCUCCUCUGUCUCAGUACCACAUGAUGAGGAAGAUGAGGGCGAGAGCAGCACCCCUGCCAAGCGGCCGAGGCUCGAGAGUCUUCUCCAUUUUCUGGAGAAGGCAGAGAAGAGAGAGGAAGAGAGAGAAAAGAGAGAAGAGGAAAGGGAGAAAAAGGAGGAGGAAAGGGAGGAGAGAUUGUUGUCUCUAUUAGAAAAAAUAAUUGAGAAAAUUAAAUAAAAUGUUGGAACAUUUAAUGAUGAGUUCUUUUUAUUUAGAAUAAAAAUAGAAACUCAAACAAUAAACUUAUACAUAACUUAUAACGGGAUAUUUCAAUUAUAGUUACAUUUUUAAAGGCAUAUUUAUAGGGACACACUUAUUCUACUGAAACUAUUUACACUUGUGUCUUUUGAAAUGUUUUUUACAUAUUUAAUUUGCUGUUUGACUUCAGAACAAAACAAGACAAAGGAAUAAAACAAGAAAAAAACCUGCUUUUCAAAACACCAAAUACUCUCUCUAUUACAGCUCGUGCCCUGGAGUGGUGUCGAUUAUACCGGGCUUCAACGGGACUCCUUACAGGCUCCCUGUAAGGAGUAAGGAGGGUGAUGGGCUGUGACGGGCACGGAUAUCCACCAUCACCGAUAAUGAUGAAGCCGUUCGGGGGCUUGAUCCUGACGUGGCAGCCAUCAAUGCUUCCCACCACCUUCCUAAAUGCUGCAGAUCCACCAAGCUUCUGGAAACCAGCUGAAACCUCUGCCAGUCCAUCCAAAGAGGGAAAGUUGAUGACCCUUCUGCGCAGAGCCAGUAUGGUCAACGUCGCAGACCGUGGCCUUGGGCAUGUCAAAGGCCUGGGCCACAACACGGUAUGAUGUGCCACUUGCCAGCCAGAAGAGAAACGUCCAGGUGUUUCCCCCAGCCAUGGUGAUCUGUGGCCCAAAGCUGCCCAAUCAGACCCGAGAUGGUGUCUCGGUUCAGGCAAAGUAAGGGUGGAGGUCAGAGUGACCAUCAAAAUACAUGGUCAGGAGGGGGACGUUUUUAUUCACCUGGCUGUAAAGUGGUGGUCCCUAAAAGAAAUAAAACUUGGUGAGUUUGUGUGAAACACUUAAGGAAAAAAAUAAAACAGAAAACUAAAAGGAAAAAGGAAAAAAAACAACUUCCCAAGUAAUGUAGCUACUUAAAAUUCAAUGUUUGAAGGA